CCCAGCCCCGCUUCUGUCGCAGACUUGGGAUCCGAGCCAACUUUGCAAGGGGCCCUCUUCUCUUUCGGCAAAGUGUCCAACUUCCACUCCUACAAGCCAGCACCGAAAGCUUCAUCUGUUCAUUCCAGACAGACUUUGAUUUAGGAAAGUAAUGGCAGCUGGGCAGAGGAGUUCAUUUCCUGCUGGAUGUUUAAAGGCAACACUGCCUGACUUUCUACCAGAAUGUGAAAAUCUAUGAGGGGAAUGCAGAAGGGAGAGGUAAAAGAACAAUUCCUCGGAAAUGUCUUUGAUUUUAGAGUGGCUGACUUGGUCCUCAAAACACAGAUCUGGCUCCCAUGUUUUUGUCAAAGAGCCGGAAGAGCUGGUGCCAUCAGCAGUUUCAGACUCUGUUGUUGGAGUCAGAAUCUGCUGUUUUACAUAUCAGUAAGCAGGGAGGAGGCAGGGCUCCGGCACUGGUGAAGCUGGGACGUGGUCAGUCUGCAGUCAGCCGCUCUCACUUCCUGUGGGUGCCCAAGGUCUGGCGUGCUCAGGUCCACCCAGCUCUGUCCUCUCCACUGUGGGGGCUGCAGGUGGACAGGAACACAGGGAGUCCCGUUGGAGACGUGCAGAGCUCUGAUUGGGAGUGGGCAGCCUGUGCCGGGCCGGGGAGGGCCAGAGUGGAUGGGCUGUGUGACCAGCACAACCGACUUCCUGAGAAGCUGGGUGACUCGGCAGGUCACCCUCACACUCCAAAAGGUGAAAUGUGGAUGAAGGGCUGAGGAGAUGCUGAGGAACAAAAGCCACUGUCUUUGAUCACUGCUUUUAAGUGACUUCCCUAGGAUAGGAUACUACUAAGCACCGUCUAGAAGAAGGUAGAACCUGAGACUAUUUCAGGUGCUGCGGCUAAGCUAAAUUCCACAACAAUUAGCUGACUGUCAGUGUAAUUAAUAUCCAACCUGCCAGUGUUUGGGGCCGGGGUGUCCCCUGAGGCCUGUGCGUUAAAGGUGUGGUCCCCAGCCCGUGGUGGUGCUGCUGCGUGGCGGCAGAACUGUUGUGUGUAGGGGGGCUGGCAGGAGGGAGUUAAGUCUUGGGGGCACUCCCCUGGGGUGGAAUUGGGACCCCAAACCCUUCCAGGCUCUGCUUCCCGUGCCUCCACCAGGCAGCCCCACCACAACCUACCGUGCGGCCCCAGCCCAGAACAGCAGAGCUAAGCAACCGUGGACUGAAAGCUGACGUGUGAGCCAGGUAAGCCUCUCCUCCCCUGUGUGGUCUCAGCAAGGAGGAACAGAAAAGCUCACUACUACCCAAUCUUGGU
Molecule: long non-coding RNA, 1294 nt
Organism: Fukomys damarensis (Damara mole-rat)
Lineage: Eukaryota; Metazoa; Chordata; Mammalia; Rodentia; Bathyergidae
Exons: 3
Source: RefSeq, a predicted model, not a curated record